AAGUUUUAUUUUCUAAUGCAAGUUUUCAUUACAUUGUUGUGUGAUUUUUAGGAUGUUUUUGGUGAUUGUCUGUUUUUUAUCGCUUCACUAUGUGGUUGUCGGGAUGUUUUUGGUGGUUUCCUGUGUAUUGACUUGUGUUCGCCAAGGUUUUCUGAACGGUUGUUUGUGUUGCGUCGUGGUUGCUGGACUCCUCGGUUUGGUUUUUCAUGCGUCGCUAUGUGCUUGUCAGGAUGUUUUGAGUUUCUGGUUGACAUGCGGUUGUCUUAAACAGUUGAGUAGGGUAGGUUAGGGUCCCUCACACGGUUUGCAGCUUGACGUGCUGUGAGGGCUUGUGUGCAUCAGUGAUGCUGAGAGCUACGCCACUGGUACUUCACAACUACUGGUAGGGUCACCCAUAGUGGACAGGUCUCAGCUGAGAUGCCAGACGAAGACAAACCACCUGAUUCUGGACAGCAGCAGACUGACCUGAUGUUCCUGGCAGAAGAUCACAGUCUUGUGUUUACGGUUGAAGAAAUAAAGUCGUACAGGUUUGGAACGACAUGAGGAAAUGAUCAGCCUCCGUUAAGUGAGGAAAACAUCUAACAGCAGAGUGUAAAGCACCACUUACCCGUCAUUACUGAUAUCAACAGCUGCUACAGAAUGACGGGAGAAAACUAGAUGAACAGAGAAAGACACUUAGACAUGACCAGACUACACCGCAUUCGCUAUUAAUGUGGAGCGCAUAGAAACCUAGAUACAGUAGACAUUUUCAGGUUGCUGAAAUUUACCCACAACAGGAUCAGCUGUCAGUUUACAGACUGAUAUGACAUCUUCU
Long non-coding RNA from Cyprinus carpio carpio, 814 nucleotides. NCBI's taxonomy places the organism in Eukaryota, Metazoa, Chordata, Actinopteri, Cypriniformes, Cyprinidae. The record is from Ensembl.